UUGACCUCAGAUCAGGUAGGAAUACCCGCUGAACUUAAGCAUAUCAAUAAGCGGAAGAAAAGAAACCAACAGGGAUUGCCCUAGUAACGGCGAGUGAAGCGGCAACAGCUCAAAUUUGAAAUCUGGCCCCAGGCCCGAGUUGUAAUUUGUAGAGGAUGUUUCUGGCGACGUGUCUUCCGAGUUCCCUGGAACGGGACGCCAUAGAGGGUGAGAGCCCCGUACGGUUGACUGCCUAGCCUCUGUGAAACUCCUUCGACGAGUCGAGUAGUUUGGGAAUGCUGCUCUAAAUGGGAGGUAUACGUCUUCUAAAGCUAAAUACCGGCCAGAGACCGAUAGCGCACAAGUAGAGUGAUCGAAAGAUGAAAAGCACUUUGAAAAGAGGGUUAAAUAGUACGUGAAAUUGUUGAAAGGGAAGCGUUUAUGACCAGACUUGGGCAGGUUGAUCAUCCGUCGUUCUCGGCGGUGCACUCUGCCUGCCCAGGCCAGCAUCAGUUCGCUCCGGGGGACAAAGGCUUCGGGAAUGUGGCUCCCUCGGGAGUGUUAUAGACCGUUGCGUAAUACCCUGGGGCGGACUGAGGUUCGCGCUCUGCAAGG
RNAcentral lists this ribosomal RNA (594 nucleotides) under Sesquicillium sesquicillii. Its description in RNAcentral is "eukaryotic LSU rRNA". It matches the Rfam family "Eukaryotic large subunit ribosomal RNA", at positions 1 to 607 of the family's 3401-position model. The record is from RNAcentral. Lineage: Eukaryota; Fungi; Ascomycota; Sordariomycetes; Hypocreales; Bionectriaceae.